GAUGAACGCUAGCGGCAGGCUUAAUACAUGCAAGUCGAGGGGCAGACGCGGGUAGCAAUACCUGGCGGCGACCGGCAAACGGGUGCGGAACACGUACGCAACCUUCCCAUAACUGGUGAAUAGCCCUCCGAAAGGAGGACUUAAUACACCGUAAGAUAACGGAGAGGCAUCUCUCUGUUAUUAUAGCUACGGCGGUUUUGGAUGGGCGUGCGCCUGAUUAGGUAGUUGGCGGGGUAACGGCCCACCAAGCCUACGAUCAGUAACUGGUGUGAGAGCACGACCAGUCACACGGGCACUGAGACACGGGCCC
RNAcentral lists this ribosomal RNA (310 nucleotides) under uncultured bacterium. RNAcentral describes it as "bacterial SSU rRNA". It matches the Rfam family "Bacterial small subunit ribosomal RNA", at positions 28 to 333 of the family's 1533-position model. The record is from RNAcentral.